This is a long non-coding RNA of Heterocephalus glaber (naked mole-rat), 1299 nucleotides long. RefSeq lists it as uncharacterized. The record is from RefSeq and is a predicted model, not a curated record. Lineage: Eukaryota; Metazoa; Chordata; Mammalia; Rodentia; Bathyergidae.
GGGGGCGAGGGCCCGAGGGAGGCGCCUGCGCCCUGCACGGUCCUCUCGGGAAGGCUUUGUGCCGCGGCUUUCCCCCAAAGCAGCCUCUGCCGAGCCGAGGCCCGGGGCGAUGCCUGCUCCCCGCAGGCGACUCCCUCAGUAGUUCCCUCGCCCUCGCUCGGAGCCUUUCCGGGCCCCUGGACCUCCCAAUAUAAUGUGCCUUAGACAAUCUGUUAUGCAUUUUGGUUUCUCAUCUGGAGAACUGCGAGUACUGUGUGCAGAUUUCCUCCGUCCCAGGGGAGGAGAAGUUCCAUGAGGGGGCCGGUGGUGGUGGAGAGAGCACGUUUCCCUGGCUCACGCUGGGGUCCCCGGACCAAAGGCUGCUCCCCUUAUGAGUCAGAGUGGUUCCCUCCUUUCCUCCCCAGUAGCCCAGCCGAUGAGCCUCAGUAGUAACUGGAGAAGUAUGUAGCUGAAGAUCACAAGCUCCCAGAGCGUUUUAAAUAUAAACCUGCCCUGUGUGUAUGUGACAGUCCCUGAAGGAACACAGUCCUCUUCGCCUUGCUACGGGUUUAUGCAGCGCCAAACCUGAGAGAGGCCACUUCGGAGACACCUUGCUAAUUCUCAAACCCAGCUACUUUAGGGUCAGGAGAUGGAUGGCUCAAACUAACCUUGCCGAAAUCAACUAAGUUUCAGGAUGGCCUUCUGUUUGUGACAAUGAGUCAGAAGAGAAACAGGGCAUCCCCUUUCCCACCCCGUUUUGAGGUUUGCAAAGUGCCUGACUGUUAUAUGUCCCUGGAGUCCUUUGGGGGUGUAUUUAUUAUUGAUCAAGAAGAUGAGAUGACCUGAAUGUGAAAAGAAGGGAAUCUGAACUGUGCAUUCUUUUCAAGGUGCUAAAAACUAGAAUCUGAGAGACUGGCCUUGUGAUGCUAAUUCCUUAGGUUUCUCCGUCUGAAGAAUGAGGAAAUUCAACUAAGUGAUGUCUGAAGUCCCUGUUAGCUCCAGAAAUAACGGAUGUUGACUUGGAAGACUAGGUCCCUGGAGCACCCUUCCUCUGGUUUCCAGAGGGGGUUCCUGUAGAAACGAAGAGCAUGGCCACAACGAGGGACGCUGUAUCCUCGCUGCUGUCACUCUGGAAGGGGGUGCAUCCCUGGACUGCUGCAGGUCCAACAAGCAGUGGUCUUUUCCAAAGCUAUCAUUUAUCCAUCACUCUCUGGGCCUGGCAGUAGAAAUGGCAUCCUGCUCCACCCACUGCAUGGGCUCCUCAGCACCGUCUAUUGCUGUCUUUUACCCUGUCCCCACCAUUAAAAAUAGUCCUUUAUG